Dermochelys coriacea (leatherback sea turtle) is the source of this 760-nucleotide long non-coding RNA. RefSeq lists it as uncharacterized. Lineage: Eukaryota; Metazoa; Chordata; Testudines; Dermochelyidae. The transcript is spliced from 4 exons. The record is from RefSeq and is a predicted model, not a curated record.
UUUUUAUUUUUGCUAAAUGUCACACUAACUUAUUUUGCUAAGUUUUGUAAAUCCUUUAUAUCACUUAGUUACAUUUUAGGCCUACGGUUCAUAUUUUGUAAUAUCAGGUUCUAAAUCUUUAUAUUUUGUGUACCUAAAUAAUAUUUUUUCAUUUUUUUUUCACACUGCAGUUGAAGAGCAGGACUGAUUGGGAUCCAUGCAGAGAGAUGGUGUGAUGGAGUGAAUUCAUUCCACACUGGACAAGACUGGGUUAAUGCCACACGGUGGGCCAAGGAAGCCAGUCCCCCUCACCCCUGCUAGGCAUGCUCCAACUGGAAUAGCAGUAAAAAAGGGAGCAGCUCAGUCUGGGCUGACUGCCGAGGAGGGAGGAUGCACCUUGCAGGCUCCAGCCCAGGAGCUGGUGAUGCCCCAGACUGUGGAAGCCAGAGGCACUGAGAUCCCAAUGGAUGCUCAGGGCACUUUGAAAUGGCUUGUUUUCAUUCUCAGCUGGAAUGAAAACACAUGUUGAAAUGUCCGAAUAUCCCACAGAAUGGGAAUUCCAAGUUUUGAAUAUCUCUACAAAGGCUACCAAAUAGUGUGAUGGUUUUGUGACGUGUGGGAACUGUGAAUAAAGAUUGAUCAUGAACUCACCCAGCUGCACAUUGAACUCUAACUCUAAACCACUUUUGUUUUGUUUCCCAAAUAUCCACAAACAACUCUUGAUGUAUUUGUUACUCAGUAAAUAUUGUUAUAUUUAUGAAACGAUCAUAAGGACAAUUCU